RNAcentral lists this ribosomal RNA (253 nucleotides) under uncultured bacterium. Its description in RNAcentral is "partial 16S ribosomal RNA". It matches the Rfam family "Bacterial small subunit ribosomal RNA", at positions 524 to 776 of the family's 1533-position model. The record is from RNAcentral.
UACAGAGGGUGCGAGCGUUGUCCGGAAUCACUGGGCGUAAAGGGCGCGUAGGCGGCUUGAUAAGCGUGCGGUGAAAGCCCGGGGCUCAACCCCGGGUCGGCCGUGCGAACUGUCGAGCUGGAGCACUGUAGAGGCAGGUGGAAUUCCGGGUGUAGCGGUGGAAUGCGUAGAGAUCCGGAAGAACACCGGUGGCGAAGGCGGCCUGCUGGGCAGUGGCUGACGCUGAGGCGCGACAGCGUGGGGAGCAGACAGG